Molecule: small RNA, 19 nt
Filed under: Arabidopsis thaliana (thale cress)
Lineage: Eukaryota; Viridiplantae; Streptophyta; Magnoliopsida; Brassicales; Brassicaceae
Description: ATSL286540
Source: RNAcentral
UUUUUUUGUUGUUUUUUUG